RNAcentral lists this ribosomal RNA (468 nucleotides) under uncultured bacterium. RNAcentral describes it as "partial 16S ribosomal RNA". It matches the Rfam family "Bacterial small subunit ribosomal RNA", at positions 28 to 507 of the family's 1533-position model. The record is from RNAcentral.
GACGAACGCUGGCGGCGUGCUUAACACAUGCAAGUCGAACGGCAAGGCCCUGCUUUCGUGGGGUGCUCGAGUGGCGAACGGGUGCGUAACACGUGAGUAACCUGCCCUUGACUUUGGGAUAACUUCAGGAAACUGGGGCUACUACCAGAUAGGAGCUCCUGCUGCAUGGUGGGGGUUGGAAAGUCUCGGCGGUUGGGGAUGGACUCGCGGCUUAUCAGCUUGUUGGUGGGGUAGUGGCUUACCAAGGCUUUGACGGGUAGCCGGCCUGAGAGGGUGACCGGCCACAAUGGGACUGAGAUACGGCCCAGACUCGUACGGGAGGCAGCAGUGGGGAAUAUUGCACAAUGGGCGGAAGCCUGAUGCAGCAACGCCGCGUGCGGGAUGACGGCCUUCGGGUUGUAAACCGCUGUCGCCUGUGACGAAGCGUGAGUGACGGUAAUGGGUAAAGAAGCACCGGCUAACUACGUG